This 685-nucleotide ribosomal RNA is filed under the name Vittaforma corneae. RNAcentral describes it as "SSU rRNA". It matches the Rfam family "Microsporidia small subunit ribosomal RNA", at positions 229 to 948 of the family's 1311-position model. The record is from RNAcentral. Lineage: Eukaryota; Fungi; Microsporidia; Nosematidae.
UUAGGGUUUUGUACCGGAGAGGGAGCCUGAGAGAUUGCUCCCACGUCCAAGGACGGCAGCAGGCGCGAAAAUUGCCCACUCUUUGCAGGAGGCAGUUAUGAGACGUGAAGAUGAGUAUCUUGUAAAGAGGGAUAGGAGAAUUGGAGGGCAAGUUUGGUGCCAGCAGCCGCGGUAAUACCGACUCCAAGAGUGUGUAUGAGAGAUGCUGCAGUUAAAAAGUCCGUAGUCAUAGAAGGGCAAAGAGAGAUGCGAGGUCUCACAGUGCGAUGAUGGAGGAGCCGAUGGGGAACAUAGUAUACCAGGGCGAGAGAUGAAAUGCCAAGACCCCUGGUGGACUGAGCGAGGCGAAGGCGAUGUUCUUGUAGGCAUUCGGUGAUCAAGGACGAAGGCUGGAGUAUCGAAAGUGAUUAGAUACCGCAGUAGUUCCAGCAGUAAAAGAUGCCGACAUGCUCAUUGGACACAGUGGGCAGGGAGAAAUCUUAGAGUUCGGGCUCUGGGGAUAGUAUGCUCGCAAGGGUGAAAAUUAAAGAAAUUGACGGAGCUACACCACAAGGAGUGGAUUGUGCGGCUUAAUUUGACUCAACGCGAGGAAACUUACCAGGGCCAAGUAUUGUGUAGAAACGAGCAUACAGGAGGUGGUGCAUGGUCGUUGGAAUUGAUGGGAUGACUUUUGACCUAAUGGUUG